AACGAACGCUGGCGGCAUGCCUAACACAUGCAAGUCGAACGAGACCUUCGGGUCUAGUGGCGCACGGGUGCGUAACGCGUGGGAAUCUGCCCUUGGGUUCGGAAUAACAGCGAGAAAUUGCUGCUAAUACCGGAUGAUGACGUAAGUCCAAAGAUUUAUCGCCCAAGGAUGAGCCCGCGUAGGAUUAGCUAGUUGGUGAGGUAAAGGCUCACCAAGGCGACGAUCCUUAGCUGGUCUGAGAGGAUGAUCAGCCACACUGGGACUGAGACACGGCCCAGACUCCUACGGGAGGCAGCAGU
This 299-nucleotide ribosomal RNA is filed under the name uncultured bacterium. Its description in RNAcentral is "partial 16S ribosomal RNA". It matches the Rfam family "Bacterial small subunit ribosomal RNA", at positions 29 to 355 of the family's 1533-position model. The record is from RNAcentral.